GAUGAACGCUGGCGGCGUGCUUAAUACAUGCAAGUCGAGCGGACAGACGAGGUGCUUGCUCGUCUGACGUUAGGGGCGGACGGGUGAUUAACCCGUGGAUAACCUACCUAUAAGACUGGGAUAACUUCGGGAAGCCGGAGCUAAUACCGGAUAAUAUAUUGAACCGCAUGGUUCUAUAGUGAAAGACGGAUUUGCUGUGCCUUUUGGAUGGAUCCGCGCUGCAUUAGCUAGUUGGUAAGGUAACGGCUUACCAAGGCUACGAUGAGUAGCCGACCUGAGAGGACGAUCGGCCACACUGGAACUGAGACACGGCCCAGACUCCUACGGGAGGCAGCAGUAGGGAAUCUUCGGCAAUGGGCGAAAGCUUGAUGCAGCAACGCCGCGUGAGUGAUGAAGGUCUUCGGAUCGUAAAGCACUGUUAUUGGGGAAGAAAAAAUGUGUGAGUAUCCAUGCACGUCUUGACGGUACCUAAACAGAAAGCCACGGCUAACUACGUG
RNAcentral lists this ribosomal RNA (497 nucleotides) under uncultured bacterium. RNAcentral's name for it is "partial 16S ribosomal RNA". It matches the Rfam family "Bacterial small subunit ribosomal RNA", at positions 28 to 507 of the family's 1533-position model. The record is from RNAcentral.